RNAcentral lists this ribosomal RNA (301 nucleotides) under uncultured bacterium. RNAcentral's name for it is "partial 16S ribosomal RNA". It matches the Rfam family "Bacterial small subunit ribosomal RNA", at positions 509 to 809 of the family's 1533-position model. The record is from RNAcentral.
CAGUAGCCGCGGUAAUACGAAGGGUGCAAGCGUUAAUCGGAAUUACUGGGCGUAAAGCGCGCGUAGGUGGUUUGGUAAGAUGGAUGUGAAAUCCCCGGGCUCAACCUGGGAACUGCAUCCAUAACUGCCUGACUAGAGUACGGUAGAGGGUGGUGGAAUUUCCUGUGUAGCGGUGAAAUGCGUAGAUAUAGGAAGGAACACCAGUGGCGAAGGCGACCACCUGGACUGAUACUGACACUGAGGUGCGAAAGCGUGGGGAGCAAACAGGAUUAGAUACCCCGGUAGUCCCUGUCUCUUAUAA